This 451-nucleotide ribosomal RNA is filed under the name Pedobacter sp. IGS23. Its description in RNAcentral is "bacterial SSU rRNA". It matches the Rfam family "Bacterial small subunit ribosomal RNA", at positions 21 to 469 of the family's 1533-position model. The record is from RNAcentral. Lineage: Bacteria; Pseudomonadati; Bacteroidota; Sphingobacteriia; Sphingobacteriales; Sphingobacteriaceae.
GGCUCAGGAUGAACGCUAGCGGCAGGCCUAAUACAUGCAAGUCGAACGAUAUUAAGGGGCUUGCUCCUUAAGAAAGUGGCGCACGGGUGCGUAACGCGUAUGCAACCUACCUUCAUCAGGGGGAUAGCCCGGAGAAAUCCGGAUUAAUACCGCAUAAAAUCACAGCACUGCAUAGUGCAAUGAUCAAACAUUUAUGGGAUGGAGAUGGGCAUGCGUGUCAUUAGCUAGUUGGCGGGGUAACGGCCCACCAAGGCGACGAUGACUAGGGGAUCUGAGAGGAUGGCCCCCCACACUGGUACUGAGACACGGACCAGACUCCUACGGGAGGCAGCAGUAAGGAAUAUUGGUCAAUGGAGGCAACUCUGAACCAGCCAUGCCGCGUGCAGGAAGACUGCCCUAUGGGUUGUAAACUGCUUUUAUCCGGGAAUAAACCACAUUACGUGUAAUGUGC